This 58-nucleotide small RNA is filed under the name Caenorhabditis elegans. RNAcentral describes it as "Unclassified non-coding RNA K04C2.11". The record is from RNAcentral. Lineage: Eukaryota; Metazoa; Nematoda; Chromadorea; Rhabditida; Rhabditidae.
AAAAUAUGAAAAAAAGUUCUGCGUUCGGGGGGAAUCGAACCCCCGUCGAAUGCUUGGA